CCCUUAGACGUUCUGGGCCGCACGCGCGCUACACUGACCAGUGCAACAAGCAUCCGUCCUUGGCCGACAGGCCCGGGCAAUCUUUGAACGCUGGUCGUGAUGGGGAUAGACUUUUGCAAUUUUUGGUCUUCAACGAGGAAUGCCUAGUAAGCGCAAGUCAUCAGCUUGCGUUGAUUACGUCCCUGCCCUUUGUACACACCGCCCGUCGCUCCUACCGAUUGAAUGGUCCGGUGAAGCGUUCGGACCGUGGCCUUUGGACGGUUCGCCGUCUGUUGGCUGCGGGAAGUUCGUUAAACCUUAUCAUUUAGAGGAAGGAGAAGUCGUANCA
RNAcentral lists this ribosomal RNA (328 nucleotides) under uncultured eukaryote. Its description in RNAcentral is "partial 18S ribosomal RNA". It matches the Rfam family "Eukaryotic small subunit ribosomal RNA", at positions 1470 to 1796 of the family's 1831-position model. The record is from RNAcentral.